This 403-nucleotide ribosomal RNA is filed under the name uncultured Armatimonadota bacterium. Its description in RNAcentral is "bacterial SSU rRNA". It matches the Rfam family "Bacterial small subunit ribosomal RNA", at positions 1 to 419 of the family's 1533-position model. The record is from RNAcentral. Lineage: Bacteria; Bacillati; Armatimonadota.
CAUGGAGUUUGAUCCUGGCUCAGGACGAACGCUUGCGGCGUGCCUAAGAAAUGCAAGUCGAACGGGGACUUCGGUCCUAGUGGCGAACGGUCGCGUAACACGUAAGCAACCUGCCCUGAAGAGGGGGACAACAUCCCGAAAGGGGUGCUAAUACCGCAUGUGGUCACGAGUCGGCAUCGACUUGUGUCUAAAGAUUUAUCGCUUCAGGAUGGGCUUGCGGCCUAUCAGGUAGUUGGUGGGGUAAUGGCCUACCAAGCCGACGACGGGUAGCUGGUCUGAGAGGACGAUCAGCCGGAUUGGGACUGAGAUACGGCCAGACUCCGUACGGGGGGCAGCAAUUAGGAAUCUUGCGCAAUGGGGGAAACCCUGACGCAGCGACGUCGCGUGAAGGAUGAAGGCCCCU